Molecule: ribosomal RNA, 253 nt
Filed under: uncultured bacterium
Lineage: Bacteria
Description: partial 16S ribosomal RNA
Rfam family: Bacterial small subunit ribosomal RNA
Source: RNAcentral
UACGUAGGGUGCGAGCGUUGUCCGGAAUUAUUGGGCGUAAAGAGCUUGUAGGCGGUUUGUUGCGUCUGCUGUGAAAAUCCGGGGCUCAACCCCGGACUUGCAGUGGGUACGGGCAGACUAGAGUGUGGUAGGGGAGACUGGAAUUCCUGGUGUAGCGGUGGAAUGCGCAGAUAUCAGGAGGAACACCGAUGGCGAAGGCAGGUCUCUGGGCCACUACUGACGCUGAGAAGCGAAAGCAUGGGGAGCGAACAGG